UGCGUACAUUAGUAGGCCAUACAGGGGGCGUGUGGUCCAGUCAGAUGAGUGGUAACAUCGUGAUCAGUGGGUUGACAGACAGGACUCUGAAGGUUUGGGACGCAGAGAGCGGAGAGUGUGUUCACACCCUGUACGGACACACCUCUACUGUACGCUGUGUACACCUGCAUGACAAACAGGUUGUGAGCGGUAGCCAUGACGCUACGUUGCGUCUGUGGGACGUAGAUUCUGGCGAGUGUCUCCACGUCCUGACAGGUCAUGUGGCGGCGGUGCGGUGUGUCCAGUAUGACGGCCGCAGGGUGGUCAGCGGAGGAUACGACUUCAUGGUUAAAGUCUGGGACCCUGAGACAAAGACCUGUCUACACACUCUGCAGGGACACACGAACAUAGUCUAUUCACUACAGGUCCCCAUAAGCACCAGUCAGCAGUGACCUGUCUCCAGUUCUCUCGCUCCCUGGUGGUCUCUUCAUCAGAUGACGGGACCGUGAAGCUGUGGAGCCUGGCGACGGGGGAGUGGAUCAGAGACCUGGUGGCUCUGCAGAGUGGAGGAUCAGGGGGAGUGGUGUGGAGGAUCAGGGCAUCUAACACCAGACUGGUAGCAGCUGUUGGCAGCAGGAACGGAACAGAGGAGACUAAACUCUUGGUGCUGGACUUUGACCUCACUGACACCCACAAGUGAUGUCAUCAAAGAGGCGACGUGCUUUCAUCAGGAGAGGAUGUCAUUGGAUAAGGAUGCGAGGUAACCAAAGAGGGACCUAAUAUCCUCAUAGGUGGAAGGAGAACUUGUAAUGAUGAUGAAAGGGGUGAGGAGAAGGUGUCGUUUGACAGAGGACUAUGUCAGAAUCUUCCUAUGGAAGGACUGAGUGCCAUUUUAAUAGGAGACACCAAUAUACCACAAACCAGGAGACGACUCAGAACUGUCCCCCAUUUCCUCACCACGUCCCUGCGGAACCUAACUCAUAUUUUCCUGCUGACCAUUUAAACACUGCUGGACACUGGUAUGGUGAAGAGACAGUACGAAGACCAACUUUGAAUCUUCUGCGACCGGAGGAAUCCAUGAGAGGUCUCACUAAGGUCAUGCGACUAACUGGCCUCCUGACCGACCGUCCAAAGGUCAAAUUGAGUAUAGUUACUGUAACUACCCAGACUACUGCUGGAUGUAUAGUUACUGUAACUACCCAGACUACUGCUGGAUGUAUAGUUACUGUAACCACCCAGACUACUGCUGGAUGUAUAGUUACUGUAACUACCCAGACUACUGCUGGAUGUAUAGUUACUGGAACCACCCAGACUACUGCUGGAUGUAUAGUUACUGUAACCACCCAGACUACUGCUGGAUGUAUAGUUCCUGAACUACCCAGACUACUGCUGGAUGUAUAGUUACUGGAACCACCCAGACUACUGCUGGAUGUAUAGUUACUGUAACUACCCAGACUACUGCUGGAUGUAUAGUUACUGUAACUACCCAGACUACUGCUGGAUGUAUAGUUACUGUAACCACCCAGACUACUGCUGGAUGUAUAGUUACUGUAACUACCCAGACUACUGCUGGAUGUAUAGUUACUGUAACUACCCAGACUACUGCUGGAUGUAUAGUUACUGGAACCACCCAGACUACUGCUGGAUGUAUAGUUACUGUAACUACCCAGACUACUGCUGGAUGUAUAGUUACUGUAACUACCCAGACUACUGCUGGAUGUAUAGUUACUGUAACCACCCAGACUACUGCUGGAUGUAUAGUUACUGUAACCACCCAGACUACUGCUGGAUGUAUAGUUACUGUAACUGUAACCACCCAGACUACUGCUGGAUGUAUAGUUCCUGAACCACCCAGACUACUGCUGGAUAUAUAGACUAUAGUUACUGUAACCACCCAGACUACUGCUGGAUGUAUAGUUACUGGAACCACCCAGACUACUGCUGGAUAUAUAGACUAUA
This is an RNA transcript of Oncorhynchus tshawytscha (Chinook salmon), 1938 nucleotides long. It is a transcript of the gene named F-box/WD repeat-containing protein 7-like, with no coding region annotated. The record is from RefSeq and is a predicted model, not a curated record. The transcript has 4 exons. NCBI's taxonomy places the organism in Eukaryota, Metazoa, Chordata, Actinopteri, Salmoniformes, Salmonidae. The annotation marks the transcript as partial.